RNAcentral lists this ribosomal RNA (449 nucleotides) under uncultured Acidobacteriota bacterium. Its description in RNAcentral is "bacterial SSU rRNA". It matches the Rfam family "Bacterial small subunit ribosomal RNA", at positions 354 to 796 of the family's 1533-position model. The record is from RNAcentral. Lineage: Bacteria; Pseudomonadati; Acidobacteriota.
GUGGGGAAUUUUGGGCAAUGGGCGAAAGCCUGACCCAGCAACGCCGCGUGAAGGAUGAAAUCCCUCUGGGAUGUAAACUUCGAAAGUCGGGAAAGAAAUCGCCAUGGAUAACAACCGUGGUGGAUGACGGUACCCGACGUAAGCCCCGGCUAACUACGUGCCAGCAGCCGCGGUAAUACGUAGGGGGCAAGCGUUGUUCGGAAUUACUGGGCGUAAAGGGCGCGUAGGCGGCAUGGCAAGUCGGGAGUGAAAGCCCGGGGCUCAACCCCGGAACUGCUUUCGAAACUGCCAAGCUAGAGUACGGAAGGGGCAACUGGAAUUCCCAGUGUAGCGGUGAAAUGCGUAGAUAUUGGGAAGAACACCGGAGGCGAAGGCGGGUUGCUGGGCCGAUACUGACGCUGAGGCGCGAAAGCCAGGGGAGCAAACGGGAUUAGAAACCCGAGUAGUCC